GGCGGGGCCUGGGUGGGCGGAGCCUCUUGUGACCCACAGAACGCCUGCCCGGUUUGAAACUGGGAUGUCCCACCUACAGCCAGAAGCAGGAAGAAGCUUCUUGAUGGUGACUGGGCCAGACACUGAGCUGAGUACAGGUCUGAUGUAGCUACUGAGGAAUCCCAGAUGGGAUGUGACGAGCUGCUUCAAGCUCCUGCUGCCGCCUUUGAUGGAAUGACUGUACCUUGGACUGUGAGCUAGAUAAAUCUUCCCACCUUAAGUCUCUUUUUGUCAAGGAACAGCCACAGGGAUUGUGGAAAUGUUCCCUGUGACCAGCUCCCACGGCAGAAUGGAAGAGAAGAGGCUGUUUGUUGUUGUAAAAAUAUAAAAUAAAACAAGUA
This 380-nucleotide small RNA is filed under the name Rattus norvegicus (Norway rat). Its description in RNAcentral is "uncharacterized LOC102555969". Lineage: Eukaryota; Metazoa; Chordata; Mammalia; Rodentia; Muridae. The record is from RNAcentral.